UGCUAGAAGUCCAACUACCCUGAGGCCACUGCACUGUGAGGAAGCCACACCACACAGACAGGCCCUAGAUGGGUGCUCUAGUCAACAGUGCUCAUCUUCAAAUUCUCCCAGGCUUGGCACCAGACAUAAAGAAAACAAAAGCAAACUAAGAGUCAGAUGAACUGACCUAGCGCUGUUUGCAAAGAACGCCAGCCAGAAGGAAAUCCCGGCAUGGAGUGGGAAGGCUGUCCAGUGCUCCAUGGCAGAGUCAUUGUGCAGUUACAAGAAAGGGAACACAGUGUUCCGAAGUUGCACAAGGAAUGUAAACAAAACACAUGGAAUCUCUCAGAAUUGGUGCCAACCCCUUGCUGGAGGUUGAGUUCAGAAAAAGCUUUUGUGUAGCAUUUGACUAAGUAGCUUGGCCCCCAAAAUACUAAAAGAAAGUGGUGAAAGCAAUGACUGAGUUUUGCAAGUGUCUAUGCAUUUAAGGUAGUUUAUUUCUUCCUAAGCAAAUGGCUUCCUUGCUUACAUCAGCUCUCAAAUGCUUACUGAGCUACUUAAAAAUUCCGAGGAAAAUUAGAACUAGCUUUUAUAAGGAAAAAUCCCAAAGCU
Hipposideros armiger (great roundleaf bat) is the source of this 591-nucleotide long non-coding RNA. RefSeq lists it as uncharacterized. The transcript is spliced from 3 exons. Lineage: Eukaryota; Metazoa; Chordata; Mammalia; Chiroptera; Hipposideridae. The record is from RefSeq and is a predicted model, not a curated record.